AGAGUUGAUCAUGGCUCAGGAUGAACGCUAGCGACAGGCUUAACACAUGCAAGUCGGAGGGCAGCAUAAAAGUAGCAAUACGUUGGUGGCGACCGGCGCACGGGUGAGUAACGCGUAUGCAACCUACCUAUCAGGAGGGGAAUAACCCGGCGAAAGUCGGACUAAUACCGCAUAAAACAGGGACACCGCAUGGUGAUAUUUGUUAAAGAAAUUCGCUGAUAGAUGGGCAUGCGUUCCAUUAGGUAGUUGGUGAGGUAACGGCUCACCAAGCCGACGAUGGAUAGGGGAACUGAGAGGUUGGUCCCCCACACUGGUACUGAGACACGGACCAGACUCCUACGGGAGGCAGCAGUGAGGAAUAUUGGUCAAUGGGCGAGAGCCUGAACCAGCCAAGUCGCGUGAAGGAAGAAGGACCUAUGGUUCGUAAACUUCUUUUGCAGGGGAAUAAAGUGCAGGACGUGUCCUGUUUUGUAUGUACCCUGAGAAUAAGGAUCGGCUAACUCCGUGCCAGCCGCCGC
RNAcentral lists this ribosomal RNA (518 nucleotides) under uncultured bacterium. RNAcentral describes it as "bacterial SSU rRNA". It matches the Rfam family "Bacterial small subunit ribosomal RNA", at positions 8 to 518 of the family's 1533-position model. The record is from RNAcentral.